GAUGAACGCUGGCUACAGGCUUAACACAUGCAAGUCGAGGGGCAGCAUGCCGGUUGCUUGCAACCGGUGAUGGCGACCGGCGCACGGGUGAGUAACGCGUAUCCAACCUUCCCGCGACCAAGGGAUAACCUGCCGAAAGGCAGACUAAUACCUUAUGUCCUCCUUUGAAGGCAUCUGACGAGGAGCAAAGAUCCGUCGGUCACGGAUGGGGAUGCGUCCGAUUAGCUUGUUGGCGGGGCAACGGCCCACCAAGGCUUCGAUCGGUAGGGGUUCUGAGAGGAAGGCCCCCCACACUGGAACUGAGACACGGUCCAGACUCCUACGGGAGGCAGCAGUGAGGAAUAUUGGUCAAUGGGCGGAAGCCUGAACCAGCCAAGUAGCGUGCAGGACGACGGCCCUACGGGUUGUAAACUGCUUUUAUGCGGGGAUAAAGUUGCCCACGC
Molecule: ribosomal RNA, 443 nt
Filed under: Segatella buccae
Lineage: Bacteria; Pseudomonadati; Bacteroidota; Bacteroidia; Bacteroidales; Prevotellaceae
Description: bacterial SSU rRNA
Rfam family: Bacterial small subunit ribosomal RNA
Source: RNAcentral